UACGGAGGGUGCAAGCGUUAUCCGGAUUCACUGGGUUUAAAGGGUGCGUAGGUGGCUUUGUAAGUCAGUGGUGAAAGCCUGGAGCUCAACUCUAGAACUGCCAUUGAUACUGCUUAGCUUGAAUCAGGUCGAGGUGGAUGGAAUAUGACAUGUAGCGGUGAAAUGCUUAGAUAUGUUAUAGAACACCGAUUGCGAAGGCAGUUCACUAGACCUGUAUUGACACUGAGGCACGAAAGCGUGGGGAUCAAACAGG
This 253-nucleotide ribosomal RNA is filed under the name uncultured bacterium. Its description in RNAcentral is "partial 16S ribosomal RNA". It matches the Rfam family "Bacterial small subunit ribosomal RNA", at positions 524 to 776 of the family's 1533-position model. The record is from RNAcentral.